UUUCUCCUGUACUUUUUUGUAACGAUUCUUCUCCAGCCACUGUUUAUUUUUCAACUGGUUAUUCUAAAAAAAGAUUCCUCAGCAACUAGGUUUCCGCAAGAAACAUUUCCAAGAUCUCCGAAAACACGCACAUAUGUGUAUGUUUCCCCCACAUAUGAUUCUUGUAUGCGUUUAUAUAUAUGUAUAUAUAUAUAUGCGUGUGUGUGUGUGAAUGUGUUUUUGUAUGUGAAUGAGUUACUUGGCGCAACCCAGUCUAAUUAUAUGAAAAAACAGUAAAAAUCCAAGGAAACUAGUGAUCUGCAUCGGCAGAAAAUAAGAAUACAAAUACUUCUAACAGUGAAAUGAAUUUUAUGACGUGAAGAAGAGAAAUCUAAUUAUAGAUGUGUUCUUUGGACUGCAGCCAUGCAGGGAUACCACCUUGAAGGAUCUAAUUGGAUAUAUCAACCUCUGUAUUUAUUUUUUUAAAGCCUGGCACUUAUUCUAUUGGUAUCCUUUUGUUGAACUACUGAGUUACAGAUUGUACUUGGUGAUAUGAGAGACAGUUGGUUGCUUAUUAUAUCUAUUAGGCUUAGCAACUACAUAGAGACUACCUCACACACACACAGACACACAUAUAUGCACGCUGGCACUCACACAUUAGAAAAAAGAAUAGAAAUAACUUUUCUGAUAAUUUUUCAACAUCAUCAUCAUCAUCAACAUCAUCAUCAUCAAUAAUAUCAUCAUCGUUGUCAUUUAACGUCCACUUUCCAUGCUGGCAUGGGUUGGACGGUUUGACUGAGGACUGGCAAGCCAGGAGGCUGCACCAGGCUCCAAUCUAUUCUGGCAAGGCUUCUACAGUUGGAUGCCUUUCCUAAUGCCAACCACUCUGAGAGUGUAGUGGGUGCUUUUUACAUGCUACUGACAAGGGGGCCAGUCAGGCAGCACUGGCAUCAGCCACAACAACGAUUUCACUUGACUCAGCAGAUCUUCUCAAGCACAGUAUAUUGCUCAACAAUUGAAGGGUACUUUUAAAGGGCCAGUUAUGCAACACUGGCAUUGGCCAUUGCUAUGAUCUCAUUUGGCUUUCCAGGUUUUCUCAAUCACAGCAUAUCUCCAAAGGUCUUGGUCACUUGUCAUUGCCUCUGUGAGGCCUAACAUUUGAAGGUUGUGCUUCACCACCUCAUCCCAGUCUUCCUGGGUCUACCUCUACUAGUGGUUCCCUCCACUGUUAGGGUGUGACACUUCUUCACACAGCUGUUCUCAUCCAUAUGCAAUGCAUGACCAUACUAGCACAGUCGUCUCUCUUGCAUACCACUACUUUAAUAAUUAGAUGCCUAUAAGUUCACAAAAGAUGACUCUGGUAGGAGUUUUUUGCUUAAAAGAAAAGCAGUUUUCAAACUGCUUUUAAGCGAGAAACUCCUAUUAGAGUGACCUUUUGUAAACUUGGAAACAUCUAAUUAUUAAAGUGGAAAAAUUAUCAGAAAACCCAUUUAUAUAUAUAUAUAUAUAUAUAUAUGUGUGUGUGUGUGUGUGUGUGUGUGUGUGUGUGUGUGUGUGUGUGUGUGUG
Molecule: long non-coding RNA, 1546 nt
Organism: Octopus bimaculoides (California two-spot octopus)
Lineage: Eukaryota; Metazoa; Mollusca; Cephalopoda; Octopoda; Octopodidae
Source: RefSeq, a predicted model, not a curated record